AGUGGGAUAACUGGGUAAAAUGGUGGUUCCAUUCCUAGUUUUUGAGGAAUCUCCAUACUGCUUUCCAGAGUGGUUGCACCAAUUUGCAACCCCACCAAAAAU
RNAcentral lists this microRNA precursor (102 nucleotides) under Marmota monax (woodchuck). The record is from RNAcentral. Lineage: Eukaryota; Metazoa; Chordata; Mammalia; Rodentia; Sciuridae.